Molecule: ribosomal RNA, 1420 nt
Filed under: uncultured bacterium
Lineage: Bacteria
Description: partial 16S ribosomal RNA
Rfam family: Bacterial small subunit ribosomal RNA
Source: RNAcentral
UUAGAGUUUGAUCCUGGCUCAGGAUGAACGCUGGCGGCGUGCCUAAUACAUGCAAGUCGAACGAAACUUCUUCAUCACCGAGUGCUUGCACUCACCGAUGAAGAGUUGAGUGGCGAACGGGUGAGUAACACGUGGGCAACCUGCCCAAAAGAGGGGGAUAACACUUGGAAACAGGUGCUAAUACCGCAUAACCAUGGUUACCGCAUGGUAACUAUGUAAAAGGUGGCUAUGCUACCGCUUUUGGAUGGGCCCGCGGCGCAUUAGCUAGUUGGUGAGGUAAAGGCUUACCAAGGCAAUGAUGCGUAGCCGAACUGAGAGGUUGAUCGGCCACAUUGGGACUGAGACACGGCCCAAACUCCUACGGGAGGCAGCAGUAGGGAAUCUUCCACAAUGGGCGAAAGCCUGAUGGAGCAACGCCGCGUGGGUGAAGAAGGUCUUCGGAUCGUAAAACCCUGUUGUUAGAGAAGAAAGUGCGUGAGAGUAACUGUUCACGUUUCGACGGUAUCUAACCAGAAAGCCACGGCUAACUACGUGCCAGCAGCCGCGGUAAUACGUAGGUGGCAAGCGUUAUCCGGAUUUAUUGGGCGUAAAGGGAACGCAGGCGGUCUUUUAAGUCUGAUGUGAAAGCCUUCGGCUUAACCGGAGUAGUGCAUUGGAAACUGGGAGACUUGAGUGCAGAAGAGGAGAGUGGAACUCCAUGUGUAGCGGUGAAAUGCGUAGAUAUAUGGAAGAACACCAGUGGCGAAAGCGGCUCUCUGGUCUGUAACUGACGCUGAGGUUCGAAAGCGUGGGUAGCAAACAGGAUUAGAUACCCUGGUAGUCCACGCCGUAAACGAUGAAUGCUAAGUGUUGGAGGGUUUCCGCCCUUCAGUGCUGCAGCUAACGCAAUAAGCAUUCCGCCUGGGGAGUACGACCGCAAGGUUGAAACUCAAAGGAAUUGACGGGGGCCCGCACAAGCGGAGGAACAUGUGGUUUAAUUCGAUGAUACGCGAGGAACCUUACCCGGGCUCAAACGGGAGUGGAAUGGACCAGAGACGGUUCAGCCUACGGGCCGCUUCCGAGGUGCUGCAUGGUUGUCGUCAGCUCGUGCCGUGAGGUGUCGGCUUAAGUGCCAUAACGAGCGCAACCCCCGCCGGCAGUUGCUAACGGGCAAUGCCGAGGACUCUGCCGGGACUGCCGCCGCAAGGCGUGAGGAAGGCGGGGAUGACGUCAAAUCAGCACGGCCCUUACGUCCGGGGCGACACACGUGUUACAAUGGCAGGUACAGCGGGAUGCCACGGGGCGACGCCGAGCGGAACCCGAAAACCGGUCUCAGUUCGGAUUGGAGUCUGCAACCCGACUCCAUGAAGCUGGAUUCGCUAGUAAUCGCGCAUCAGCCACGGCGCGGUGAAUACGUUCCCGGGCCUUGCACACACCGCCC